Molecule: ribosomal RNA, 223 nt
Filed under: uncultured bacterium
Lineage: Bacteria
Description: partial 16S ribosomal RNA
Rfam family: Bacterial small subunit ribosomal RNA
Source: RNAcentral
GACGAACGUUGGCGGCGUGCCUAAUACAUGCAAGUCAACUGAAAUACCGGUAGCAAUACUGGUAUGGAGGUGGCGCACGGGUGAGUAACACGUAGGUAAUCUGCCUUCAGGUCUGACAUAACCCAUCGAAGGUAGAGCUAAUAUCAGAUGAUGCAGCGGCUUGACAUCAAGACAGUUGUUAAAGCUUCGGCGCCUGAAGAUGAGCCUGCGUCUGAUUAGCUAG